RNAcentral lists this ribosomal RNA (253 nucleotides) under uncultured bacterium. RNAcentral's name for it is "partial 16S ribosomal RNA". It matches the Rfam family "Bacterial small subunit ribosomal RNA", at positions 524 to 776 of the family's 1533-position model. The record is from RNAcentral.
UACGUAGGGCGCAAGCGUUGUCCGGAAUUAUUGGGCGUAAAGAGCUCGUAGGCGGCCUGUUGCGUCCGCUGUGAAAUCCCGGGGCUCAACCCCGGGCGUGCAGUGGAUACGGGCUGGCUGGAGGCAGGCAGGGGAGAACGGAAUUCCUGGUGUAGCGGUGAAAUGCGUAGAUAUCGUAAGGAAGACCAGUGGCGAAGGCGGAUCUCUGGACAGCUACUGACACUGAGGCACGAAGGCCAGGGGAGCAAACGGG